GACGAACGCUGGCGGCGUGCUUAACACAUGCAAGUCGAACGGAAAGGCCCUGCUUUUGUGGGGGGCUCGAGUGGCGAACGGGUGAGUAACACGUGAGUAACCUGCCCUUGACUUUGGGAUAACUUCAGGAAACUGGGGCUAAUACCGGAUAGGAGCUCCUGCUGCAUGGUGGGGGUUGGAAAGUUUCGGCGGUUGGGGAUGGACUGGGGGCUUAUCAGCUUGUUGGUGGGGUAGUGGCUUACCAAGGCUUUGACGGGUAGCCGGCCUGAGAGGGUGACCGGGCACAUUGGGACUGCGAUACGGACCAGACGCCUACGGGAGGCAGCAGUGGGGAAUAUUGCACAAUGGGCGGAAGCCUGAUGCAGCAACGCCGCGGGCGGGAUGACGGCCUUCGGGUUGUAAACCGCUUUCGCCUGUGACGAAGCGUGAGUGACGGUAAUGGGUAAAGAAGCACCGGCUAACUACGUG
This 468-nucleotide ribosomal RNA is filed under the name uncultured bacterium. Its description in RNAcentral is "partial 16S ribosomal RNA". It matches the Rfam family "Bacterial small subunit ribosomal RNA", at positions 28 to 507 of the family's 1533-position model. The record is from RNAcentral.